CUCCAUUGAUGACCUCCAUUUUGUGCCACGUGUCUGGGCCACUGAUCUCAAGUGAUGGAUAUGAGGAACUGAGGAG
Conger conger (European conger) is the source of this 76-nucleotide small nucleolar RNA. RefSeq annotates it as small nucleolar RNA SNORD66. The record is from RefSeq and is a predicted model, not a curated record. The transcript has a single exon. NCBI's taxonomy places the organism in Eukaryota, Metazoa, Chordata, Actinopteri, Anguilliformes, Congridae.